Molecule: small nuclear RNA, 65 nt
Filed under: Canis lupus familiaris (dog)
Lineage: Eukaryota; Metazoa; Chordata; Mammalia; Carnivora; Canidae
Also listed under: 2 other names
Description: U4 spliceosomal RNA
Rfam family: U4 spliceosomal RNA
About the family: U4 small nuclear RNA (U4 snRNA) is a component of the major U2-dependent spliceosome. The structure of U4 snRNA from yeast and human has been reported. U4 snRNA presents a k-turn RNA motif in the 5p-SL related to recognition of Snu13 protein.
Source: Rfam by way of RNAcentral
AGCUUUGCGUAGUGGCAGUAUCAUAGCCAAUGAGGUUUAUCCGAAGCACGAUUAUUGCUAAUAGA